GAGAGUGGCGAACGGGUGAGUAAUGCGUGACCGACCUGCCCCAUGCUCCGGAAUAGCUCCUGGAAACGGGUGGUAAUGCCGGAUGUUCCACAUGAUCGCAUGUGAUUGUGGGAAAGAUUCUAUCGGCGUGGGAUGGGGUCGCGUCCUAUCAGCUUGUUGGUGAGGUAACGGCUCACCAAGGCUUCGACGGGUAGCCGGCCUGAGAGGGCGACCGGCCACAUUGGGACUGAGAUACGGCCCAGACUCC
Molecule: ribosomal RNA, 247 nt
Filed under: uncultured Bifidobacterium sp.
Lineage: Bacteria; Bacillati; Actinomycetota; Actinomycetes; Bifidobacteriales; Bifidobacteriaceae
Description: partial 16S ribosomal RNA
Rfam family: Bacterial small subunit ribosomal RNA
Source: RNAcentral